This 270-nucleotide unclassified non-coding RNA is filed under the name uncultured bacterium. RNAcentral's name for it is "contains 16S-23S intergenic spacer region". The record is from RNAcentral.
UGAUCGCCACGACGGCCAUGGUCCUGAUGCUCGCGGUCGCGAUUCCGCUGGCCUCGUUCAUGGUCUUCCGAGCCGGGAAGUGGGAGCUGCCACUCCUGCUGGCGCUCGUGGUCGCCGACGAGCUGAACCCGAUCGUUCGGAUCUGGGCGUGGCGGAUGAUCCUCGGGCGACAGGGCAUCGUGAACUGGUUCCUCCAGACCACCGGCAUCACCGACGCGCCGGUCGAGUGGUUGAUCUUCACGCCGUUCGCGGUCAUCGUGGUGCUCUCGG